CUUUACCAUCCUCCUUUUUGCAUUUUCUUGUCUGUUCUUUUUUUCUGAGAACCAGCAAAGCGAAGGAUGCUCACUUCACUAGAAAUAGCAUUCAUUUUCCUCUGGGGUUUGUGGAUUCUGUUCAUAGUAAGGUGGAGGCCUAGAAAGCUUCCUUCAGAAACAGGUUUGUACUGACUGACACGAUAAAGUGAUAGAGAUGCAGAUGGAGAUGCCUUUCAGUUCACGAAUUCUUUCUCAGAUGCUUAUGCCUGUGCUGCCACUGCAGUCAGCGUUUUGCUGCAGUGUGUGCUGUUCAAACUCCAGCUCGAGCUUCCCCUUCUGCUUCUAGUGCCUCUUCAACAGCGCAGGUGCUGCACUGAUAAGGAUAAAAAUAUUGCCCGUUGGAAAUGGGUGCACAAGAUUUUUCAUCUUCUGAAAUGGGGAUUUGUGAUGCAGCAACCUGAAGCUUCCCCUUUCAGCACAAGAAAACUUCAUGAUCACACCAUGAGCAGGAAAAGAAGAGAAAGGAGAGCAGAACACGAAGCUGAUCUGCCUAAUUUUAUUGCGCAACACUAA
RNAcentral lists this long non-coding RNA (555 nucleotides) under Struthio camelus australis. RNAcentral's name for it is "lncRNA (ENSSCUG00000014051.1)". The record is from RNAcentral. Lineage: Eukaryota; Metazoa; Chordata; Aves; Struthioniformes; Struthionidae.